This 262-nucleotide ribosomal RNA is filed under the name uncultured bacterium. RNAcentral's name for it is "partial 16S ribosomal RNA". It matches the Rfam family "Bacterial small subunit ribosomal RNA", at positions 57 to 305 of the family's 1533-position model. The record is from RNAcentral.
GCAAGUCGAGCGGAAACGACAACGUUUAAUCUUCGGCGGAUUUGUUGGGCGUCGAGCGGCGGACGGGUGAGUAAUGCCUAGGAAAUUGCCUUGAUGUUGGGGAUAACCAUUGGAAACGAUGGCUAAUACCGCAUAAUGCCUACGGGCCAAAGAGGGGGAUCUUCGGACCUCUCGCGUCAAGAUAUGCCUAGGUGGGAUUAGCUAGUUGGUGAGGUAAUGGCUCACCAAGGCGACGAUCCCUAGCUGGUCUGAGAGGAUGAUC